GACGAAGGUGGCAAGCGUUAUUCGGAUUUACUGGGCAUAAAGCGCGCGUAGGCGGCUUGGCAAGUCGGGGGUGAAAGCCCGCAGCUCAACUGCGGAACUGCCUUCGAUACUGCCGGGCUUGAGGGCGGGAGGGGUGAUUGGAACUCCAGGUGUAGCGGUGAAAUGCGCAGAUAUCAGGAAGAACACCUAUGGCGAAAGCAGCUCUCUGGGACGGUACUGACGCUGAGACGCGAAAGCGUGGGGAGCGAACAGG
Molecule: ribosomal RNA, 253 nt
Filed under: uncultured bacterium
Lineage: Bacteria
Description: partial 16S ribosomal RNA
Rfam family: Bacterial small subunit ribosomal RNA
Source: RNAcentral